GGUCACUGCUAUUGGGAUUCGACUAAGCCAUGCGAGUCGAGAGGGUUCGGCCCUCGGCUGACGGCUCAGUAACACGUGGAUAAUCUGCCCUUAGGUGGAGGAUACCCUCGGGAAACUGAGAAUAAUACUCCAUAGGUCUAGGAUGCUGGAAUGCAUCUAGACUCAAAGCUCCGGCGCCUAAGGAUGAGUCUGCGGACUAUCAGGUUGUAGUCAGGGUAAAGACCUGACUAGCCUACGACGGAUACGGGUUGUGAGAGCAAUAACCCGGAGAUGAUAUCUGAGACACGAUAUCAGGCCCUACGGGGCGCAGCAGGCGCGAAAACUUCACACUGUGCGAAAGCACGAUGAGGGAAUCCCAAGUGCCAGCUCGUAAGAGUUGGCUGUUUUUCUGUCUAAAACACAGAGAGAGUAAGAGCUGGGUAAGACGGGUGCCAGCCGCCGCGGUAAUACCUGCAGCUCGAGUGGUGACCGUUAUUAUUGGGCCUAAAACGUCCGUAGCCGGUUUAGUAAAUGCCUGGGUAAAUCGUGUAGCUUAACUAUACGAAUUCCGGGUAGACUGCUAAGCUUGAGACCGGGAGAGGCUAGAGGUACUCCUGGGGUAGAGGUGAAAUUCUGUAAUCCUGGGGGGACCACCAGUGGCGAAGGCGUCUAGCUAGAACGGAUCUGACGGUGAGGGACGAAGCCCUGGGGCGCAAACCGGAUUAGAUACCCGGGUAGUCCAGGGUGUAAACGCUGCUUGCUUGAUGUUGGUUGGGCUCCGAGCCCAAUCAGUGUCGGAGAGAAGUUGUUAAGCAAGCUGCCUG
RNAcentral lists this ribosomal RNA (803 nucleotides) under uncultured archaeon. RNAcentral's name for it is "bacterial SSU rRNA". It matches the Rfam family "Archaeal small subunit ribosomal RNA", at positions 21 to 830 of the family's 1478-position model. The record is from RNAcentral.